CCCAACCACGAAGCUUAAAGGGAACGUAGGGUCAAAAAUCAAAUUUUGAUAUGUGAAAACUGGUACCAUGCAGACAACAAAAUCUAGCAUAGAAAAAAUAAUUGCUGCUGAUAACAAGAUUUAAUCUGUCAUUUACACUGAAAACUGAGCUGAAUGGGAGAAUCUCUUAUCAUGGCGGCUGAUGACGUGUAUGCGGCAAUUCAUUACAACUGCUGUGCCUAUAGCACUAAAUGGGUUACAGAGUAUCUAUAAUUUAAAUGUUGGGAGUUCAAGCGAAAUUUUGCACUGUGGUCAAAGGAAAAGGAAUACAUGUAUCUACCUUUUAGCAUCCCUGAUCUCCCCAAAAACUAUGAACAUUGUGCAAGAAUUGGAUACAUAACCUUGGAAAUGAAUAUUUUGUUUUUGAACGGCAUUUUGAGAAAGAUUCUUUUAAAGAGGAUAUCAGGCUAAUCCAUUUUCUUUUGGAAACCUAUUGACCAACCUGGACUAUUAGCAUCUAAGGAAACAGCUCAAUGAAGACAUCAAUAGUGACAAAACUAUCCCACUCUCAAU
Ostrea edulis (European flat oyster) is the source of this 552-nucleotide long non-coding RNA. RefSeq lists it as uncharacterized. The transcript has 3 exons. The record is from RefSeq and is a predicted model, not a curated record. Lineage: Eukaryota; Metazoa; Mollusca; Bivalvia; Ostreida; Ostreidae.